UUGGAGGGCAAGUCUGGUGCCAGCAGCCGCGGUAAUUCCAGCUCCAAUAGCGUAUAUUAAAGUUGUUGCAGUUAAAAAGCUCGUAGUUGAAUUUCGGGAUCAAUAUAUCGGUCGUGCCUUUGGUAUGUACUGGUAUUAUUGGUUUCUCCUUUCUGACAAACUAUGAUGUCAUUAAUUUGGUGUCAUGGGGAAUCAGGACUGUUACUUUGAAAAAAUUAGAGUGUUUAAAGCAGGCACACGCUUGAAUACAUUAGCAUGGAAUAAUGAAAUAGGACGUUUGACCCUAUUUUGUUGGUUUCUAGGAUCGACGUAAUGAUUAAUAGGGAUAGUUGGGGGCAUUAGUAUUCAAUUGUCAGAGGUGAAAUUCUUGGAUUUAUUGAAGACUAACUACUGCGAAAGCAUUUGCCAAGGAUGUUUUCAUUAAUCAAGAACGAAAGUUAGGGGAUCGAAGACGAUCAGAUACCGUCGUAGUCUUAACCAUAAACUAUGCCGACUAGGGAUCGGAUGAUGUUAAUUUUUUAAUGACUCAUUCGGCGCCUUACGGGAAAC
This 549-nucleotide ribosomal RNA is filed under the name uncultured Glomeromycotina. RNAcentral's name for it is "SSU rRNA". It matches the Rfam family "Eukaryotic small subunit ribosomal RNA", at positions 548 to 1098 of the family's 1831-position model. Lineage: Eukaryota; Fungi; Glomeromycota. The record is from RNAcentral.